This 490-nucleotide ribosomal RNA is filed under the name uncultured bacterium. RNAcentral describes it as "partial 16S ribosomal RNA". It matches the Rfam family "Bacterial small subunit ribosomal RNA", at positions 30 to 507 of the family's 1533-position model. The record is from RNAcentral.
AUUGAACGCUGGCGGCAGGCCUAACACAUGCAAGUCGAACGGUAACAGGAAGAAGCUUGCUUCUUUGCUGACGAGUUGCGGACGGGUGAGUAAUGUCUGGGAAACUGCCUGAUGGAGGGGGAUAACUACUGGAAACGGUAGCUAAUACCGCAUAACGUCGCAAGACCAAAGAGGGGGACCUUCGGGCCUCUUGCCAUCGGAUGUGCCCAGAUGGGAUUAGCUAGUAGGUGGGGUAACGGCUCACCUAGGCGACGAUCCCUAGCUGGUCUGAGAGGAUGACCAGCCACACUGGAACUGAGACACGGUCCAGACUCCUACGGGAGGCAGCAGUGGGGAAUAUUGCACAAUGGGCGCAAGCCUGAUGCAGCCAUGCCGCGUGUAUGAAGAAGGCCUUCGGGUUGUAAAGUACUUUCAGCGGGGAGGAAGGGAGUAAAGUUAAUACCUUUGCUCAUUGACGUUACCCGCAGAAGAAGCACCGGCUAACUCCGUG